RNAcentral lists this ribosomal RNA (236 nucleotides) under uncultured Staphylococcus sp. Its description in RNAcentral is "partial 16S ribosomal RNA". It matches the Rfam family "Bacterial small subunit ribosomal RNA", at positions 104 to 334 of the family's 1533-position model. The record is from RNAcentral. Lineage: Bacteria; Bacillati; Bacillota; Bacilli; Caryophanales; Staphylococcaceae.
GGGUGAGUAACACGUGGAUAACCUACCUAUAAGACUGGGAUAACUUCGGGAAACCGGAGCUAAUACCGGAUAAUAUAUUGAACCGCAUGGUUCAAUAGUGAAAGACGGUUUUGCUGUCACUUAUAGAUGGAUCCGCGCCGCAUUAGCUAGUUGGUAAGGUAACGGCUUACCAAGGCAACGAUGCGUAGCCGACCUGAGAGGGUGAUCGGCCACACUGGAACUGAGACACGGUCCAG